Cebus imitator (Panamanian white-faced capuchin) is the source of this 371-nucleotide long non-coding RNA. RefSeq lists it as uncharacterized. The record is from RefSeq and is a predicted model, not a curated record. The transcript has 3 exons. Lineage: Eukaryota; Metazoa; Chordata; Mammalia; Primates; Cebidae.
GAGAAGCCCCCGUGGUGGUUGGUUAGCAACAGAGCUGGGGUUCUAACCUAGUUCCCAAAGCUUGGAUAAUAAGCCCUUGUUGUGGGUGGCUAUGUCAUGCUUGCUUUUCCUUUGGUCCUUGGCAUCCCAACUGUCUUGCUAUGUUUGAGAAAUUUCUUGCUCCAGGAAAUAUAUGUGUAUUUAAAUGCCAGAUUCACUCCCAGAGAGGCCAGAGGCUCCCAAUGUUAAAACACCUGAGGACUAAGAUAACACUCGGGGCUCCCAUCUAACCCUCACAGGGGAGUGCUCAGGGGGCCAAGAGUGGUUCUAUUUAAAAUGUGAAUAGGGGCCAGCACGGUAACCCUAACACUUUGGGAGGCAAGGUGGAGGUG